GGGAUUACCUCAGUAACGGCGAGUGAAGCGGUAACAGCUCAAAUUUGAAAUCUGGGUCUAUCAGGCCCCGAGUUGUAAUUUGUAGAAGAUGCUUUGGGUGCGGCCCCGGUCUAAGUUCCUUGGAACAGGACGUCAUAGAGGGUGAGGAUCCCGUAUGUGAUCGGUGGCCUGCGCCCGUGUAAAGCUCUUUCGACGAGUCGGGUUGUUUGGGAAUGCAGCUCUAAAUGGGUGGUAAAUUUCAUCUAAAGCUAAAUAUUGGCCAGAGACCGAUAGCGCACAAGUAGAGUGAUCGAAAGAUGAAAAGCACUUUGGAAAGAGAGUUAAACAGUACGUGAAAUUGUUGAAAGGGAAGCGCUUGCACCCAGACUUGCGCGGGGUUGAUCAUCCGGGGUUCUCCCCGGUGCACUCGGCCUCGCUCAGGCCAGCAUCGGUUUCGGCGGUUGGAUAAAGGCCUUGGGAAUGUGGCUCCUCUCGGGGAGCGUUAUAGCCCUCGGUGCAAUGCAGCCUACCGGGACCGAGGACCGCGCUUCGGCUAGGAUGCUGGCGUAAUGGUUGUAAGCGACCCGUCUUGAAACACGGACCAAGGAGUCUAACAUCUAUGCGAGUGUUUGGGUGUCAAACCCAUCCGCGUAAUGAAAGUGAACGGAGGUGAGAACCCUUAAGGGUGCAUCAUCGACCGAUCCUGAUGUCUUCGGAUGGAUUUGAGUAAGAGCAUAGCUGUUGGGACCCGAAAGAUGGUGAACUAUGCCUAAAUAGGGUGAAGCCAGAGGAAACUCUGGUGGAGGCUCGCAGCGGUUCUGACGUGCAAAUCGAUCGUCAAAUUUGGGUAUAGGGGCGAAAGACUAAUCGAACCAUGAGUAGUUGCUAGGUGGUUAAGAGGCGGCCGUAGUGGGCCGCCUAGUCCUGGGUCCAGGGCGACAUUGUCAAAUUGUUCGGGGACGUCCUGUCAAUGCUGAGCUACCGCAGCCUGCCGAAAGGCAGGUGCGCACCAGGCGUAACGGCCUCGGGGAUGGUAACAACGCUCUCGCUAGGGAUAAUCCGCAGCCAAGCCCUCCCGAGACACCGUGGUGUCUCUACGGGUGCAGUUCACAGACUAGAUGGCAAUGGGUGUUACGGGCGUAGCGCUUAAGAUAUAGUCGAGCCGCUAAGAGAUUAGCCGGGUGGAUGAACGGCGUCGGGGGGACCACCCUAUGCUAUGGCAUAGGUCCUCGGCGCCUAGAGCCACCCGGGGGCGAGACCCGUGGGCCUUGGGCCCAGGUCGAGCCC
Molecule: ribosomal RNA, 1266 nt
Filed under: Pezicula sp.
Lineage: Eukaryota; Fungi; Ascomycota; Leotiomycetes; Helotiales; Dermateaceae
Description: partial large subunit ribosomal RNA
Rfam family: Eukaryotic large subunit ribosomal RNA
Source: RNAcentral